This 410-nucleotide ribosomal RNA is filed under the name uncultured microorganism. RNAcentral's name for it is "bacterial SSU rRNA". It matches the Rfam family "Bacterial small subunit ribosomal RNA", at positions 509 to 917 of the family's 1533-position model. The record is from RNAcentral.
CAGCCGCCGCGGUAAUACGUAGGGUGCGAGCGUUAAUCGGAUUUACUGGGCGUAAAGCGUGCGCAGGCGGUCCGUUAAGACAGGUGUGAAAUCCCUGGGCUCAACCUAGGAAUUGCGCUUGUGACUGGCGGGCUCGAGUACGGUAGAGGGGGGUGGAAUUCCUGGGGUAGCAGUGAAAUGCGUAGAGAUCAGGAGGAACACCGAUGGCGAAGGCAGCCCCCUGGGCCUGUACUGACGCUCAUGCACGAAAGCGUGGGGAGCAAACAGGAUUAGAUACCCUGGUAGUCCACGCCCUAAACGAUGGGUACUAGCCGUUUGGUGCGCGAGAGCGCUGAGUGGCGAAGCUAACGCGAGAAGUACCCCGCCUGGGGAGUACGGCCGCAAGGUUGAAACUUAAAGGAAUUGGCGGG